This 334-nucleotide long non-coding RNA is filed under the name Elaeis guineensis (African oil palm). RNAcentral's name for it is "long non-coding RNA (EGUI_LNC029501)". The record is from RNAcentral. Lineage: Eukaryota; Viridiplantae; Streptophyta; Magnoliopsida; Arecales; Arecaceae.
UUUAAUGCCAAAAUAUCUGGGAGCGGCAGUGCGCAGGAUUCGAGGGGACGGUUUCGGCUGUGCCCAUCUCUCUGUACUUUCUUCAUUCGAAAUUCGAACUCGAAAGUAGGGGGACUGGUGUUGGGUAUAAAAUACCCACAGCCGAAGUCCUCAGCAGAAUCAGCUGCAGGAAGACUUCGCCCGGACUCCUACGGGAGCCGGGCUUCGCCCUCGACUCCAACAGCUGCAGACAGACUCCGUCCGGACUCCUACGGGAGCCGGACUCCGCCGACAACUCCAACCGCAAGUAGACUCCGCCCGGACUCCUACGGGAGCCGGGCUCCGUCCUCAACAU